UACGUAGGGUGCGAGCGUUAAUCGGAAUUACUGGGCGUAAAGCGUGCGCAGGCGGUUCGCCAAGUCAGGUGUGAAAUCCCCGGGCUUAACCUGGGAAUGGCAUUCAGGACUGCGAGGCUUUGAGUGUGGCAGAGGGAGGUGGAAUUCCACGUGUAGCAGUGAAAUGCGUAGAGAUGUGGAGGAACACCGAUGGCGAAGGCAGCCUCCUGGGCCAGCACUGACGCUCAUGCACGAAAGCGUGGGGAGCAAACAGG
RNAcentral lists this ribosomal RNA (254 nucleotides) under uncultured bacterium. RNAcentral's name for it is "partial 16S ribosomal RNA". It matches the Rfam family "Bacterial small subunit ribosomal RNA", at positions 524 to 776 of the family's 1533-position model. The record is from RNAcentral.